This 765-nucleotide ribosomal RNA is filed under the name uncultured Glomus. RNAcentral describes it as "SSU rRNA". It matches the Rfam family "Eukaryotic small subunit ribosomal RNA", at positions 342 to 1108 of the family's 1831-position model. Lineage: Eukaryota; Fungi; Glomeromycota; Glomeromycetes; Glomerales; Glomeraceae. The record is from RNAcentral.
UACCAUGGUGGUAACGGGUAACGGGGUGUUAGGGCACGACACCGGAGAGGGAGCCUGAGAAACGGCUACCACUUCCAAGGAAUGCAGCAGGCGCGCAAAUUACCCAAUCCCGACACGGGGAGGUAGUGACAAUAAAUAACAAUACGGGGUUCUUUAGGAUCUCGUAAUUGGAAUGAGUACAAUUUAAAUCUCUUAACGAGGAACAAUUGGAGGGCAAGUCUGGUGCCAGCAGCCGCGGUAAUUCCAGCUCCAAUAGCGUAUAUUAAAGUUGUUGCAGUUAAAAAGCUCGUAGUUGAAUUUCGGGGUCAGUAGGUCGGUCGUGCCACUGGUAUGAACUGGUUUUACUGAUUCCUCCCUCUUGAAGAACUGUAAUGCCAUUAAUUUGGUGUUGCAGGGAAUCAGGACUGUUACUUUGAAAAAAUUAGAGUGUUUAAAGCAGGCUUUAGCUUGAAUACAUUAGCAUGGAAUAAUGAAAUAGGACGUUUGAUCCUAUUUUGUUGGUUUCUAGGAUUGACGUAAUGAUUAAUAGGGAUAGUUGGGGGCAUUAGUAUUCAAUUGUCAGAGGUGAAAUUCUUGGAUUUAUUGAAGACUAACUACUGCGAAAGCCUUUGCCCAGGAUGUUUUCAUUAAUCAAGAACGAAAGUUAGGGGAUCGAAGACGAUCAGAUACCGUCGUAGUCUUAACCAUAAACUAUGCCGACUAGGGAUCGGAUGAUGUUAAUUUUUUAAUGACUCAUUCGGCCUCUUACGGGAAACCAAAGUGUUU